GGUGGGAGGAUUGCUUAAGCCUCGGCGGUUGAGGCUACAGUGAGCUGAGAUUAUACCACUGCACUCCAGCCUGAGUGACAGAGCAAGAC
Molecule: microRNA precursor, 89 nt
Filed under: Mandrillus leucophaeus (drill)
Lineage: Eukaryota; Metazoa; Chordata; Mammalia; Primates; Cercopithecidae
Description: miRNA (ENSMLEG00000008944.1)
Source: RNAcentral